GUUCAAAAAAAAACAAUUUCCUUUCUUUCUACUCUCUCAAUAGAUAUCGCCUCUCUCAUUCAAAAUUUCCUUUUUAUAUUAUAUCAAUAAUAAUAAUAAAGCCCUGCUCCGUUUUAAGUAUUUUAACUUCCGAUCACCGCUACCCUUUCCGAUUGAUCUGAGCCCCAUAACGCAUGUCAAGGCUCUGCCCGACUAAGUUUAUUUGGGGUUCUGUCUCGGGACAUCGGGAUAAGGUUGAAUUAGGGGUACUAUCCUUAACACAAAAACGAAACGCUGCCACGAUAUAGGGUAUUAACUCAAUCGCUGCUACGAUUCAAUGUCCGAUCUAUUGAAUCUAUCCGAUGAGUGUUUAAGUGCUGCUCAAACCUGGGUUAUACUUUGUCAUUCGUCGUAAUUCCGACAGGAUGUUUGAGUGUCGCCCAAACUCGGGGUAUACUCUGUCAUUCGUUGCGAAUCCGCUGGAUGUUUAAGUAUCGCACUUUGUCAUUCGUUGUGAGGGUUUUAAUCUCGUGAGUUAUCGUAAAUGCUGUAUUAGUUACUUACCGAGUUCGUGUGCCCUAGGUUACAAGACUAAUCAGUAGGCUAAGCUCUGCCCGUAUAAAUCUGCAUGCUUAUAAUGUAAUUACAGUAGAUCGGAAUAAGAGCUGGAUACGGCACCCAAAAGGCUUACAGAAGUGGCUUGAUUUAUCAAUUAAAUUAAAUUAAGAAAAAUUGUUUUAUGUAAUCGGGUUUAUCCCAUAUUAAAGCCACCUUUGUAAAACAUGGGUUUAUCCCAUCUAUUUAAUAAAUAAAAUCCGGUGUUUCUAAACUCUGAUAUUUUUCCAAACUCACGGUCCUGAUGAAAUUUCCGCUGCGUUGUUUUUAGAAUAACCACCGGUACCACUUGGUUGUUCGCGACUCCCGAUUUCGUCCAGGGUGGGGUCGGGGGUCGUGACAGUUGGGAACUCGGUUUGGUACAUAAUAUCCUAAGAAAACAAAGUAGAAAAUAAUAAGUAUGAAAGUAGGGGUGUGCAUGAGUCGGUUUGGUUUGGUUUUUACUAUUAACCAUAACCAUAAACGCUAGUUCGGUUAUGGAGUUUUGGUAACCAUAACCAUAACCAAACUUCGGUUACGGUUAAUCGGUUAUGAAGUCGGUUAUGGUUCGGUUUUGGUUAAUUUCGGUUAAGUAACCAAGCAAGGUUUGAAAUAAAUAGGGUUGUGCACGAUUUGAACUUAACUUGAGCCUAUUUUAUAAGAUAACGGAGACUAAACUUUUUGGUUAAAGUACCGAUUUGGGGUUCUUUUUAAUAAGGUA
Molecule: long non-coding RNA, 1294 nt
Filed under: Helianthus annuus (common sunflower)
Lineage: Eukaryota; Viridiplantae; Streptophyta; Magnoliopsida; Asterales; Asteraceae
Description: hypothetical non coding rna
Source: RNAcentral